GAUGAACGCUGGCGGCGUGCCUAAUACAUGCAAGUCGAGCGAACGGACGAGAAGCUUGCUUUUCUGAUGUUAGCGGCGGACGGGUGAGUAACACGUGGAUAACCUACCUAUAAGACUGGGAUAACUUCGGGAAACCGGAGCUAAUACCGGAUAAUAUUUUGAACCGCAUGGUUCAAAAGUGAAAGACGGUCUUGCUGUCACUUAUAGAUGGAUCCGCGCUGCAUUAGCUAGUUGGUAAGGUAACGGCUUACCAAGGCAACGAUGCAUAGCCGACCUGAGAGGGGGGUCCGCCAACAUGGGACUGAGACCAGGGCCAGACUCCCAAGGGAGGCAGCAGGGGGGAAUUUUGCGCAAUGGGCGGAAGCCUGAACGAGGCAAGCCGGGUGGGGGGAGAAGGUCUUUGGGUUGUAAAACCCUUUUGUUGGGGAAGAAAAGAAGGGGGAGAAAACGGCGCAAUUCUGACGGUACCCAAAGAAAAAGCCCCGGCUAAAUUCGUG
Molecule: ribosomal RNA, 497 nt
Filed under: uncultured bacterium
Lineage: Bacteria
Description: partial 16S ribosomal RNA
Rfam family: Bacterial small subunit ribosomal RNA
Source: RNAcentral